This 492-nucleotide ribosomal RNA is filed under the name uncultured bacterium. RNAcentral describes it as "partial 16S ribosomal RNA". It matches the Rfam family "Bacterial small subunit ribosomal RNA", at positions 29 to 507 of the family's 1533-position model. The record is from RNAcentral.
AGUGAACGCUGGCGGUAGGCCUAACACAUGCAAGUCGAACGGCAGCACAGUAAGAGCUUGCUCUUACGGGUGGCGAGUGGCGGACGGGUGAGGAAUACAUCGGAAUCUACUUUUUCGUGGGGGAUAACGUAGGGAAACUUACGCUAAUACCGCAUACGACCUACGGGUGAAAGCAGGGGAUCUUCGGACCUUGCGCGAUUGAAUGAGCCGAUGUCGGAUUAGCUAGUUGGCGGGGUAAAGGCCCACCAAGGCGACGAUCCGUAGCUGGUCUGAGAGGAUGAUGAGCCACACUGGAACUGAGACACGGUCCAGACUCCUACGGGAGGCAGCAGUGGGGAAUAUUGGACAAUGGGCGCAAGCCUGAUCCAGCCAUACCGCGUGGGUGAAGAAGGCCUUCGGGUUGGAAAGCCCUUUUGUUGGGAAAGAAAAGCAGCAGGUUAAUACCCCGCUGUUCUGACGGUACCCAAAGAAUAAGCACCGGCUAACUUCGUG